Molecule: ribosomal RNA, 556 nt
Filed under: Salmonella enterica subsp. enterica serovar Typhimurium
Lineage: Bacteria; Pseudomonadati; Pseudomonadota; Gammaproteobacteria; Enterobacterales; Enterobacteriaceae
Description: partial 23S ribosomal RNA
Rfam family: Bacterial large subunit ribosomal RNA
Source: RNAcentral
GUUGGGUAGGGGAGCGUUCUGUAAGCCUGUGAAGGUGUGUCGUGAGGCAUGCUGGAGGUAUCAGAAGUGCGAAUGCUGACAUAAGUAACGAUAAAGCGGGUGAAAAGCCCGCUCGCCGGAAGACCAAGGGUUCCUGUCCAACGUUAAUCGGGGCAGGGUGAGUCGACCCCUAAGGCGAGGCCGAAAGGCGUAGUCGAUGGGAAACGGGUUAAUAUUCCCGUACUUGGUGUUACUGCGAAGGGGGGACGGAGAAGGCUAUGUUGGCCGGGCGACGGUUGUCCCGGUUUAAGCGUGUAGGUGUGUGUUCCAGGUAAAUCCGGUUCACUUUAACACUGAGGCGUGACGACGAGGCACUACGGUGCUGAAGCAACAAAUGCCCUGCUUCCAGGAAAAGCCUCUAAGCAUCAGGUAACAUCAAAUCGUACCCCAAACCGACACAGGUGGUCAGGUAGAGAAUACCAAGGCGCUUGAGAGAACUCGGGUGAAGGAACUAGGCAAAAUGGUGCCGUAACUUCGGGAGAAGGCACGCUGACACGUAGGUGAAGUGAUUUACUCA